Molecule: ribosomal RNA, 465 nt
Filed under: uncultured bacterium
Lineage: Bacteria
Description: bacterial SSU rRNA
Rfam family: Bacterial small subunit ribosomal RNA
Source: RNAcentral
GAUGAACGCUGGCGGCGUGCUUAACACAUGCAAGUCGAACGGAGUGCCUUAGAAAGAGGAUUCGUCCAAUUGAUAAGGUUACUUAGUGGCGGACGGGUGAGUAACGCGUGAGGAACCUGCCUCGGAGUGGGGAAUAACAGACCGAAAGGUCUGCUAAUACCGCAUGAUGCAGUUGGACCGCAUGGUCCUGACUGCCAAAGAUUUAUCGCUCUGAGAUGGCCUCGCGUCUGAUUAGCUUGUUGGCGGGGUAAUGGCCCACCAAGGCGACGAUCAGUAGCCGGACUGAGAGGUUGGCCGGCCACAUUGGGACUGAGACACGGCCCAGACUCCUACGGGAGGCAGCAGUGGGGAAUAUUGGGCAAUGGGCGCAAGCCUGACCCAGCAACGCCGCGUGAAGGAAGAAGGCUUUCGGGUUGUAAACUUCUUUUCUCAGGGACGAACAAAUGACGGUACCUGAGGAAUAAG